This 253-nucleotide ribosomal RNA is filed under the name uncultured bacterium. RNAcentral's name for it is "partial 16S ribosomal RNA". It matches the Rfam family "Bacterial small subunit ribosomal RNA", at positions 524 to 776 of the family's 1533-position model. The record is from RNAcentral.
UACAGAGACUGCAAGCGUUAUUCGGAUUCACUGGGCGUAAAGGGUGCGCAGGCGGUCGGGUGUGUCAGAUGUGAAAUCCCGAGGCUCAACCUCGGAACUGCGUCUGAAACUACUCGACUAGAGUACUGGAGAGGGUAACGGAAUUCACGGUGUAGCAGUGGAAUGCGUAGAUAUCGUGAGGAACACCAGAGGCGAAGGCGGUUACCUGGACAGUUACUGACGCUCAGGCACGAAAGCAUGGGGAGCAAAAGGG